AUUGAACGCUGGCGGAAUGCUCUACACAUGCAAGUCGAACGGCAGCACGGACUUCGGUCUGGUGGCGAGUGGCGAACGGGUGAGUAAUAUAUCGGAACGUGCCCAGUCGUGGGGGAUAACGUAGUGAAAAUUACGCUAAUACCGCAUACGAUCUAUGGAUGAAAGCGGGGGACCUUUGGGCCUCGCGCGAUUGGAGCGGCCGAUAUCAGAUUAGGUAGUUGGUGGGGUAAAGGCUCACCAAGCCAACGAUCUGUAGCUGGUCUGAGAGGACGACCAGCCACACUGGGACUGAGACACGGCCCAGACUCCUACGGGAGGCAGCGGUGGGGAAUUUUGGACAAUGGACGCAAGUCUGAUCCAGCCAUUCCGCGUGCAGGACGAAGGCCUUCGGGUUGUAAACUGCUUAUGUACAGAACGAAAAGGUUUCUACUAAUACUAGGAGCUCAUGACGGUACUGUAAGAAUAAGCACCGGCUAACUACGUGCCAGCCGCCGCAGUAA
This 500-nucleotide ribosomal RNA is filed under the name uncultured bacterium. RNAcentral's name for it is "partial 16S ribosomal RNA". It matches the Rfam family "Bacterial small subunit ribosomal RNA", at positions 30 to 523 of the family's 1533-position model. The record is from RNAcentral.